RNAcentral lists this ribosomal RNA (426 nucleotides) under uncultured Sphingobacteriales bacterium. RNAcentral's name for it is "bacterial SSU rRNA". It matches the Rfam family "Bacterial small subunit ribosomal RNA", at positions 956 to 1382 of the family's 1533-position model. Lineage: Bacteria; Pseudomonadati; Bacteroidota; Sphingobacteriia; Sphingobacteriales. The record is from RNAcentral.
GAUACGCGAGGAACCUUACCUGGGCUCGAACGUAAGAUGACUGUAGGUGAAAGCUUACAUCUCUUCGGAGCAUUUUACGAGGUGCUGCAUGGUUGUCGUCAGCUCGUGCCGUGAGGUGUCGGGUUAAGUCCCAUAACGAGCGCAACCCCUACCUUUAGUUGCCAUCAGGUAAUGCUGGGGACUCUAAAGGAACUGCCUACGCAAGUAGUGAGGAAGGCGGGGAUGACGUCAAAUCAGCACGGCCCUUACGUCCAGGGCUACACACGUGCUACAAUGGCCGAUACAGAGGGCAGCUACCUGGUGACAGGAUGCAAAUCUCCAAAGUCGGUCUCAGUUCGGAUCGGAGUCUGCAACCCGACUCCGGGAAGUUGGAUUCGCUAGUAAUCGCGCAUCAGCCAUGGCGCGGUGAAUACGUUCCCGGGCCUU